Molecule: ribosomal RNA, 441 nt
Filed under: Drosophila robusta
Lineage: Eukaryota; Metazoa; Arthropoda; Insecta; Diptera; Drosophilidae
Description: partial 12S ribosomal RNA
Source: RNAcentral
UAUUAUUAAAAAUGUAAAUUAAAAUAUUUAAGUAGUAAUAGUUAUGUUCUUGAAACUUAAAAAAUUUGGCGGUAUUUUAGUCUAUCCAGAGGAACCUGUUUUGUAAUCGAUAAUCCACGAUGGACCUUACUUAAUUUUGUAAUCAGUUUAUAUACCGUCGUUAGCAGAAUAUUUUAUAAGAAUAAUAAUAUUCAAUAAUUUUUAUUAAAAUUUAUAUCAGAUCAAGGUGUAGCUUAUAAUUAAGUUUUAAUGGGUUACAAUAAAUUUAUUUAAACGGAUAAAAUUAUGAAAAAUUUUUUGAAGGUGGAUUUGGUAGUAAAUUUAUAAAGAUAAAUAAAUUGAUUUUAGCUCUAAAAUAUGUACACAUCGCCCGUCGCUCUUAUUAUUAAGGUAAGAUAAGUCGUAACAUAGUAGAUGUACUGGAAAGUGUAUCUAGAAUGA